This is a non-coding RNA of Cicer arietinum (chickpea), 760 nucleotides long. The record is from RefSeq and is a predicted model, not a curated record. Lineage: Eukaryota; Viridiplantae; Streptophyta; Magnoliopsida; Fabales; Fabaceae.
GUUUUUUACUAGAACAAAAAGAAGAUUGGAAAUAAAAAUAAUUUUCUAAAUGAAACAAGCCAAGAUUGUCAUCUUUCUAACCCAAAAAUCUAAACUAUUAUUCCACCCCAAAACGCUUUUCUUUUUCAGAGAGGUCGGCGGCAGUCGCAAACACAAACAAAAUCGCCCUUUCUGUUUCAUAGGAAAAGUCACGACGGUGCCGUUCAGGGAAGUCAUGGUGGUGCCGCUCAGGGAAGUCGCGAUGGUACCAACUAUGGAGAUAAGAAAAUUAUACCAAAGGCAACAAGUGAUAUAAAACUCAUAAAUGCUGACAAAAUUUUGGAAAGCAAAAACAGAACAGAGGUUGACACGAGGAAAAAGUUGAUGAUGCAUCUAGAAAACCUUUUUUGUUGGGGAAUCCGAGAGAGCGCAACAUCCGAAAUAGGCUAAACAUCAACGAUUUUAAGAGACUUAGACACCACAUCUCAACUCAAAGCUUUAAUGCAUUAGGUGUAUGGGUCAUUCUCCUUAUAUAUCAAAUAUUUCCUCCAUUCCUAGUCAAUAUGGGACUAACUACUCAUAAUUGAAUUCCAACACUUUUUGUGGUUGUUCAUCAUUGUGAAAAUCCAUUAGCUUUGAUGUUGUUAUGUUGUUGAUGUUGUUAUGUUGUUGAUCAUGGUAAAUCGUUGGGAUAUAAGAGGUCAUGGAAGUGUGUAGUUGUGAAGACAAUAAUUUGUAGGACAAUUCCAUCCCCUUAGUUGAAUAUUGUUUGAGAGCAUUC